RNAcentral lists this long non-coding RNA (608 nucleotides) under Felis catus (domestic cat). RNAcentral's name for it is "lncRNA (ENSFCAG00000044939.2)". The record is from RNAcentral. Lineage: Eukaryota; Metazoa; Chordata; Mammalia; Carnivora; Felidae.
UAUAUAUUAACUCUUUCAAUUUACAAGAAUUUUCUUGACCACUCAAUAUAGCAGCAUACAUUUUUUAUACUUUAACUGUGAUUAAGCAGAGAAGCCUGAAGUACUUUUCUAUAAUUAACUGCUCAACUGUGUUAGAGAAUGAAAACAGCUUUCAGAAGUAGAUCUGACAUUCACCAACAGCCGGGAGAGGACAGAGCUGAUGUCUUUUCUACCUAUGAACGAACAGUUUUGUCCUUCAGAGCUGGUGACCUUGGUUUCUUUCUGAAAGAUACCUGAACUCUAGCCAAUGCUGCUUUAGGAUUUGAUGGACCACCUGACCCAUCUCAAAGGAGAAAGAAGAAUAAAGUUUUUCAAAGGUCACAUCUCAGCCAUUUACAAUUUUUUGUUACGUUUCUGUCAUGGCUGAAGAUUGUAUUCAGACAAUUGCAACAAAAACAGCCAAAGUCAAAAUGAACCAACGAACACAACAGAAAUGGAGAAAGAAGGGGAAAAAAAAAAAGAGCUUCUGUCUAGGGUUCAAAUGCUUCCACUCCUCAUUUGACAAUGAAGAAUAAUGAAGCGACAAUUAAGUGACUCUCCUAUAAUGCCUCCUAAUGCAGUAAAAUCUG